This 383-nucleotide ribosomal RNA is filed under the name uncultured Glomus. RNAcentral describes it as "SSU rRNA". It matches the Rfam family "Eukaryotic small subunit ribosomal RNA", at positions 569 to 952 of the family's 1831-position model. The record is from RNAcentral. Lineage: Eukaryota; Fungi; Glomeromycota; Glomeromycetes; Glomerales; Glomeraceae.
AGCAGCCGCGGUAAUUCCAGCUCCAAUAGCGUAUAUUAAAGUUGCUGCAGUUAAAAAGCUCGUAGUUGAAUUUCGGGACCAAUAUGUCGGUCGUGCCUCGGUACGUACUGGCAUCGUUGGUUUCUCCCUUCUGACGAACCAUGAUGUCAUUCAUUUGGUGUCGUGGGAAUCAGGACUGUUACUUUGAAAAAAUUGAGUGUUUAAAGCAGGCUACACGCUUGAAUACAUUAGCAUGGAAUAAUGAAAUAGGACGUUUGAUUCUAUUUUGUUGGUUUCUAGGAUCGACGUAAUGAUUAAGAGGGAUAGGUUGGGGGCAUUAGUAUUCAAUUGUCAGUAGGUGAAAAUUUCUUGGAAUUUUAUGAAGACUAACUACUGACGAAAGC